UUCUUCUAUUGGCCGUAAUAUCCCAGUCUGAUUGCCCAAUUUGCCGUUGUCGAUAACAAUACAAACAACACUGCUCGCGUCAAGGUGCCACGAUCGUGGUCACGCACUGAAAAAAUCGUUUUAUUUGACGUCGAUCUUGGGGUAAAAAACAAAACAAAAUCAACUACAGCGCAAGGAGAACUUUUUCUAGAAGCCUCCUGAAUUCUGCUUUUGAGCGAUCCGUCAAUAAUAAAAUGAACACUGAAGAGUUAAAUCACAAGACAACCACAAUCAUGCCGCAAAAGUAUCUGGAAACAAGAAACACACUAAUGACACUCGAAUGUAACACAGCGAACAAACACCAGCACACGAUGAUUCAACGAAUAAGAGUCGCAUCGCAAUUGAAUGAAGUUGACCAGAUAAAAAAGAAACCUAAUUUACACUUCUAUCGGAGACAAAAAAAUUUACAAAUCCGACGUCAAUAUACACGCUAACGUGCAGCCACGAGUUGCGCGCAAGUAAUUAAGAAAAAAAGGCGCACCGCGCGAGGCGUGCGCGUGAAAGGAUGCAAAAAUUGAAUAAGAGAUCUAGCGAUCGAAAAGUGCGUGCAUUGCUUAGCACCCUUCGACACACAAGAAAAGCUAAAAAAAUUCAAACAUGAGCGGAUAUCAGGGGAAUGAACCUUUCAACGACUUCAUUGAAACAGUGAACAUAGGAAUACGUUUUUGGAAUAUAUUUUCUCCAGAUGUAAUAUUAACUUACGUUUCCAGGACAAGGAGUAAGUUGUCGUCAGAUACGAGUUUCACUUUGAUGAACAGGUCAAAAUUUUUUAGCUGUAAAUUGGAUCAUUUCAGGUUUUCAUAUCAUAUACGGCGAAAUAGUGGAUAGGAAGGAUGAGUCGGGAACUAUCACUUUGAAAGUUGAAUCAAAUGGAGGAUCCAUGUACAUCAUCACACGAGAAAAAGGAGUCUAUAGUGCAUACGAGACAAAAGGUUGGAGGAUUUGGCUACGUGCAGGGAGGAGUUAUAUCAAACGGAAGCCUCAAAGCUGAUCUUCCUGCACACAUUUCAGCUCGUUUUGAUGUUAUCUAUUUGAAUUAUUCGAGAUAGUAGAGCUCCUUUUCGCACAAUGCAGAAAUUAUUGUACACUGAGCUACAUUAGUUUAUUAAAGCGUUUGCAUAAUUACACUGGUCGUGCUUCACUUGCAAAAAUUCUUAAUUUAAUGGCUAAAAUUCUCCAUAUCCUAGAACCUUUAUUAAGGAACAUAAGCCUUUGCUUCCUCGGAGUUUCCGCAACAAUUUCUUAACUGAAAUAUGAAGAGAUAAUGCCAACAUAUUGAGUUGAGUUAAUCAACAGACUCCAAAUCGAUUUAUAAGAUUGUAGAUAAAUUUCUUUAGUUUCGACAGUAGAUACCUCGGCUGGUACAGAAACUACUAACUCUACUCCCUCAGUUUAAGCACUAAGGUUGAAAUCAAAAUGCCACAGGAGAGACUCUCAGGCGAUAAAUAAAAUAACGAAAGUCCGAAAUAAACAACCUAGAAUUAGGUAUAUUUAUUUCAAGGAAAUGCGCACCAAGAAAAUGUAUUUUCGCUUCUGCGCAUGAGGCCUGGCAAAUGCGCCUGUGAAUAAGGUCUCACAAACUCAAAAUUAUACUCGGUGGAAAAACGUUGCUCAUCAACUUUGAGAUAAAAGAUGGCAGGGUUUCAGGGACCGGAGCCAUCGUCAAGAUUUUGUGACAUAAUAAAUGUUGGAAGGAAAGAAAGAGGACAAAGAAUUCGACCUCAUGAUGUAACAAUAUUCUACAAGGUGAACUCGGGAAGAGGAGAGUUUGAAGUCCAGGGAGGAAUCAUUUUCGACUCGACACAGCGCUACGGACGACACACAAUAACAGUUGUUGCGGCGCGCGGAUACACAUUUGGCUUCACUCGUGAUUCUGGGGGCGAAUUUCAGUUCACCACUUCACAAGAUAACAUUUGGGGAGAAAGAUUGGACCGUGUGAACUUAUGAAAUCGAGAAAAUACUCCUUCUGCUUGAUCUUCUUCUUGGAUCGCUCAAAAGGGGACCGCAAUUGACAAGAGCUCGCCAGACAGUCCAUUCAUUUAACUUCAUUAAAACAUUUCACUUGAGUUGUUAUGUGAAUAAAAAUCAUGUUGACUACAGUAAACAACACGAAACGUUCA
This 2159-nucleotide long non-coding RNA is filed under the name Pocillopora damicornis (cauliflower coral). RNAcentral describes it as "uncharacterized LOC113666216, transcript variant X3". Lineage: Eukaryota; Metazoa; Cnidaria; Anthozoa; Scleractinia; Pocilloporidae. The record is from RNAcentral.